AACGAACGCUGGCGGCAGGCUUAACACAUGCAAGUCGAACGCCCCGCAAGGGGAGUGGCAGACGGGUGAGUAACGCGUGGGAACAUACCCUUUUCUACGGAAUAGCUCUGGGAAACUGGAAUUAAUACCGUAUACGCCCUACGGGGGAAAGAUUUAUCGGGGAAGGAUUGGCCCGCGUUGGAUUAGCUAGUUGGUGGGGUAAAGGCCUACCAAGGCGACGAUCCAUAGCUGGUCUGAGAGGAUGAUCAGCCACAUUGGGACUGAGACACGGCCCAAACUCCUACGGGAGGCAGCAGUGGGGAAUAUUGGACAAUGGGCUCAAGCCUGAUCCAGCCAUGCCGCGUGAGUGAUGAAGGCCUUAGAGUUGUAAAGCUCUUUCACCGAUGAAGAUAAUGACGGUAGUCGGAGAAGAAGCCCCGGCUAACUUCGUG
This 431-nucleotide ribosomal RNA is filed under the name uncultured bacterium. RNAcentral describes it as "partial 16S ribosomal RNA". It matches the Rfam family "Bacterial small subunit ribosomal RNA", at positions 29 to 507 of the family's 1533-position model. The record is from RNAcentral.